RNAcentral lists this long non-coding RNA (846 nucleotides) under Mytilus galloprovincialis (Mediterranean mussel). Lineage: Eukaryota; Metazoa; Mollusca; Bivalvia; Mytilida; Mytilidae. The record is from RNAcentral.
AUGUAUGAUAAAUCAAUAACUAUAUAACAAUAUAUUGCAAAAAAGAAUAAAAUACUUUAUAUCAGAUUUUUCAUUAAUAUGUUCAUAUGUAGUUUUUAGCUGGUAAAAGAAAUAUAUAAACGAAAAAAAAAACAAUACUAGUAGCCAGAUAUGAAAAAACAAUGUGUGCAGAGUAUAAGGAUGCCCUACUUGCACUAUCAUUUUCUAUGUUCAGUGGACCUUGAAAUUGGGGUCAUAAAUCUUAUUUGUCAUUUAAAUUAGAGAGAUUAUAUCCCAUCAGGAACAUGUGUACUAAAUUUUAAUUUGAUUGGACCUCAUCAAAAACUACCUUGACCAAAAACUUUAACCUGAAGUAGGACAGACUGACGAAAGGACAAACAAACACACAGACCAGAAAACAUAAUGCCCUUCUACUAUCGUAGAUGGCAUAAAGACUUUAAUGGGACCUUUUAUAAUAUAAGAAUGAAAUUUCUUCCUGGAGUAUAAACAUUUAUCACAGUGUGUUUCAAUACCUGCCAUUUUUCUCAUAAAAACAUAGAGCCUAUUUAACAGUUAAAACAAAGUCUUUGAAGAUCAUGCAUUAUAUGAAGAUCUCUCCUGACAAGGCAGUAAAAUAUCUUCCUUUUUUAAGAAAUCAAAGUGCUUGUGAGCACUGAUGGAAAAGGUUGCUUUCAUUUUCCAAAUAAAACAUAGAAUUCUAUUUCGCUGGGCAGGUUAAAAAUUCGAGUUCCAGUAAUAUACCAAAGUUCAUAAUAGUACAUUCACUAUCAUACUAUGAUAAGUAUUUUGUUUGUUUUAUACAGAAUUACAAUUUAUUGACAAAUGAUUUUCCUACUGGAUACAAAA